GCGGACGUGGUGGAAUGGCAGACACGUAUGGCUUAGGACCAUAUGGGGCAACCCAUGGGGGUUCAAGUCCCUCCGUCCGCA
This 81-nucleotide transfer RNA is filed under the name Candidatus Omnitrophota bacterium. Its description in RNAcentral is "tRNA-Leu". It matches the Rfam family "tRNA". Rfam says of the family: Transfer RNA (tRNA) molecules are approximately 80 nucleotides in length. Their secondary structure includes four short double-helical elements and three loops (D, anti-codon, and T loops). Lineage: Bacteria; Pseudomonadati; Candidatus Omnitrophota. The record is from RNAcentral.